GAUACCGGGGUGCAGGGCUUAGCUCACCUGUGAACAGAGUUCGCAUCCGUAUCGUGUUCACAGUGGCUAAGUUCCGCCCCCCGGGGUCCGUU
This is a microRNA precursor of Chrysemys picta bellii (western painted turtle), 92 nucleotides long. The record is from Ensembl. Lineage: Eukaryota; Metazoa; Chordata; Testudines; Emydidae.